RNAcentral lists this ribosomal RNA (386 nucleotides) under uncultured bacterium. Its description in RNAcentral is "bacterial SSU rRNA". It matches the Rfam family "Bacterial small subunit ribosomal RNA", at positions 100 to 507 of the family's 1533-position model. The record is from RNAcentral.
ACGGUGAGUAACGCGUGGGUAACCUGCCUCAUACAGGGGGAUAACAGUUGNAAACGGCUGCUAAUACCGCAUAAGCACACAGUGCCGCAUGGUACGGUGUGAAAAACUCCGGUGGUAUGAGAUGGACCCGCGUCUGAUUAGGUAGUUGGUGAGGUAACGGCCCACCAAGCCGACGAUCAGUAGCCGACCUGAGAGGGUGACCGGCCACAUUGGGACUGAGACACGGCCCAAACUCCUACGGGAGGCAGCAGUGGGGAAUAUUGGACAAUGGGGGAAACCCUGAUCCAGCGACGCCGCGUGAGUGAAGAAGUAUUUCGGUAUGUAAAGCUCUAUCAGCAGGGAAGAAAAUGACGGUACCUGACUAAGAAGCCCCGGCUAACUACUGU